UUUUUUUUCCCCCUUUUUUUUUUUUUUUUUGUGGUUAAUUGGUUCAGCUCACUCGGAGAGGUUUUCGCAUCCGAGUUGGGAGAUGGGGACGUAAGGACUAGAGAAGAGGAGAAUUCUUUUGUUUGUUCGGAUUUUUU
Molecule: non-coding RNA, 137 nt
Filed under: Rhodosorus marinus
Lineage: Eukaryota; Rhodophyta; Stylonematophyceae; Stylonematales; Stylonemataceae
Source: RNAcentral